AUUAGACCAAAACACUUAGAAUAUUUUUAGUUUAUUUUGCUUUCCAAUUAUAAGCUUUUAAAGUUUUAAUUAGGCAUUUGGUGUGCUUAUUUUCGUGCAAAUAAAGAGCUGAGCAAGGGAGAGGAAAACAACUGAUCACAAAACAGCUGAUCACUCUUAAUGUGUGAUCAUACCUUCCUUAAUUGGCCACCAAGUGAAUAUUGGCUGGUCAAUGCUAAUUAUUAGCAAUAAUGAGCGAGAUUUGGCUCAGUUUUUAGCUUUUGUAAUUCUCCUAUUUAAGGGGACGAAAAUCAAUGAAUAAA
This 302-nucleotide long non-coding RNA is filed under the name Trifolium pratense (red clover). RNAcentral describes it as "long non-coding RNA (TPRA_LNC014214)". The record is from RNAcentral. Lineage: Eukaryota; Viridiplantae; Streptophyta; Magnoliopsida; Fabales; Fabaceae.